This 532-nucleotide ribosomal RNA is filed under the name Fusarium sp. RNAcentral describes it as "partial large subunit ribosomal RNA". It matches the Rfam family "Eukaryotic large subunit ribosomal RNA", at positions 96 to 651 of the family's 3401-position model. The record is from RNAcentral. Lineage: Eukaryota; Fungi; Ascomycota; Sordariomycetes; Hypocreales; Nectriaceae.
AAGCGGCAACAGCUCAAAUUUGAAAUCUGGCUCUCGGGCCCGAGUUGUAAUUUGUAGAGGAUGCUUUUGAUGCGGUGCCUUCCGAGUUCCCUGGAACGGGACGCCAUAGAGGGUGAGAGCCCCGUCUGGUUGGAUGCCAAAUCUCUGUAAAGCUCCUUCGACGAGUCGAGUAGUUUGGGAAUGCUGCUCUAAAUGGGAGGUAUAUGUCUUCUAAAGCUAAAUACCGGCCAGAGACCGAUAGCGCACAAGUAGAGUGAUCGAAAGAUGAAAAGCACUUUGAAAAGAGAGUUAAAAAGUACGUGAAAUUGUUGAAAGGGAAGCGUUUAUGACCAGACUUGGGCUUGGUUAAUCAUCUGGGGUUCUCCCCAGUGCACUUUUCCAGUCCAGGCCAGCAUCAGUUUUCGCCGGGGGAUAAAGGCUUCGGGAAUGUGGCUCCCUCCGGGGAGUGUUAUAGCCCGUUGCGUAAUACCCUGGCGGGGACUGAGGUUCGCGCUUCUGCAAGGAUGCUGGCGUAAUGGUCAUCAACGACCCG